ACAGCCACAUCAUGUUGAAACACCACUUCCCAUACAAUCACUGAAGUUAAGCAACAUCAAGCAUGGUUAGUACCUAGAUGGGUGACUACUUGAGAAUACCAGGUACUGUAAG
This is a non-coding RNA of Acanthosepion pharaonis, 112 nucleotides long. Lineage: Eukaryota; Metazoa; Mollusca; Cephalopoda; Sepiida; Sepiidae. The record is from the annotation of a GenBank genome assembly.